CCUGUUGCUUGAACAAGGUCACAAAUCUGGUGAGCCAGGGCUUUGGGGGCUGAGAAGCCCAGCGUGCGUCCCAGCUCUGCCACUCCCCAAAGCGGUUCACUCCUCCGAACCUCACUUUCCUCCUUCAUAAAGUGAGGACGGAUGCCUCUUCCGUAAGCUUCUCGAGAGGGUGAAGUAGGCCACGACUGUGAAGCACGACGCUGUGAGCUACAAACACUCUGGGAGUGUGUCUGUCUUGCUUGCUGUUGAAAGCUCCAGGCUCAGCGUAGCUGUGGCACACAGUAGGUGCUCAACAGGAAAUAUUUGAUCCAGGACUUAAGAGGUCUUCUGUCCACACCGCCUGAUACACUGCGUGAUUCAUACAUGAGCUUCCAAUGAAUGCAUGAUGCACCUGCCUUUCGGCCUGUCUCCUUCCACCUGCAAUCGCACAACACCGACGCAGCCUGCGAGCUCCAUUUUCUUGAUUUCCCUGUGGUUGUGGACCAGCUCUCAACUUUGCUUCAGACGCGGCUGGGCGCGUGCGGCCAGCAGGGGGCGCAUCUGCAGCGCUUCGGAGGGACCAGCGGCUGCCGGGCCCUGGGAGGAACUCCACACCCAGCUGACCUGCAGAGAACCCCUAUCAUCCCCUCUUUUUUACACAUCUUCGCUCUGCAGUUGAGAAGGGAGAUACUCCUGUCUCAUAAUACGUUGAAUAUACUCCAGGUGGUGUACACAGUGUGGAUGGAGCUGGGCUCAGACUCAGUUCUGGGCACUGGAUUGAAGUCCUAGGCUCUCAUGACACUGGCCACUGAGUAACUGAAUUUCCGUGUGCAAGUCCUUUUCAUUCUCUUAGCCUUGGUUUCCUUAUCUGUAAAAGGGGGUGUGUGGUUGUGUGGAGGCCCUCUUGGAUCCUGUCCAGAUAAAACACGCGUAGAGUGGAGCAGGCUAACAUUCUGGAUGAAUUCGAUACAAAUGAAGAAUAAUUGUUACAAAAAAGUUUUUAGGCUGUCUUGUCCCUACAAGACUUCACCCAAAAGAGCAGUGAGCACUGGGGCCCUGUGGGCUACAGAGCCACCUUGGAGAAUUUGACAGUUAAUUCUGACACAUCACCUUCCGUAUCAUCACGGCCAGGUCCCUUGCUCAGUCUGUGGCCCCCAGCAUCUGCUACUGUCCUCUUGGUCACUGCAAGCACCUUAGAGUUUAAAAGCCAGGUUUUGAGACCUGAGGGCUUGGGUUGGAAUUUUGGAAUUGCAAGUUACUUAAACUCUCCAUGCCUUGGUUUCUUUACCUGUAGAAUGAGCAGGGCUGAUAUUCACAAUGUUUGACAACUAGCAUGGCUCAGGUCCCGACUUGGCCCUAAAGAGUGUCCCAGAGGCCCCCUGAUGCGCCAGGCAUUCACUCUUUGAUGUUGGUUUUUGAUGUUUGGCUCCUGGAUAAGGCCCAGGCAGCGAUGGGACACUGAGGAAUUCAGGGCAGAGGCAUUUGUCAACUGAUAUGGAAAUAUUUAAAAAACAUUCUAACAUGUGUUUUGGCUGUGCUGGUUAGUACUCUGAAUACCAGCACUGAAGACAGGGAUAAGAAUGCCUGCACACAGGGCUGUGGGGAGGCUCACAUGAGGUAAUGCCGAUGAAGCACUUAGCCUGGCACAUGGGGGUGCUAGGUCAAGUCAGCCAUCAUGAGGUUCUUGCUGCCUUGUCUGUAGGUGGCCUUUCCAGCCCAGCCAUCUCCCUGCUGGGAUGUGCAGCUGACUAUGAGCAUGUAAUUCAGAAACAAGCCCUUCAAAAGGCCUCCCACGGACCCUGGCGGAAAGGAUGAUCUUCUGAUCCCAGGAGCAAAUACUUACAAAGUCAUCUGACCACUGCUCCUCUUCGUCAGCAAGGUCUUCUGCAGUGGCAUGUGGGAAGCAGAAAGCACAAGCGUCAAUCUCAGCUCCACCCUGUCCCCAAGCUCCCUGCGCCCACCUUCCUUGCCCCUGGGCUUCCUGGUCCUGUUUCCUUGGCCUUGAACGGUUAUUACACAUACCUCGUGUUCAUCCACUUUCGACUCCUCUUUUUUGAAAAAAUCAGUUCUCAAAGCAUAAAGGGACGUUCCACUGAGCAGAGAAACGGUACAUCUGAACCAUGUCCGUUUUUGUUAAGGAACACUUUUGGGACUUUAGAACGAUCCGGGAGGCACCUGCAAUCCAUACCAUGCUGCUUCUAAGGAUUCCUUUGAAUCAAUAUAUGGAUGGUAUAGUAGGAAGAGCACUGGACAGGGAGUCAGAUAGACCAAAACUCUCAUGCAGGCUCUGUUCUUAACUAGUUGGAGGGUAGGCAAGACAAUUAACAUCUCUGGGCCUCAGUUUUAAGAUCUAUGGGAUCACUUCUGUGAUUCUCUGUAGCCCUAACUUUGACUUUCUUAUUGAAAAGCAUUUACCCGGUGCUUUACUACACGCUGGGCAAUAUCAUCAGAGUUUUGCACUCAAUUAGCUCCCUCAAAACCUUACGAGGAAACUGAGCCCUAGAGAAAAUAAGCCAUUUGCCCAAGGUCAGAUAGUAAAUAAUAGAGCCAGGAGUUGAACCCUGUAGGUAGACUUCCAAGUGCAUGCUCUGAACUCCAAUGUCACACUGCCUCACUGUCUUUGAGCUCCAGGGUUCAAGCCCUGUCCUCGGCUCUGCAGGCAGUGUAAAAAUGGAUAUAACAGGUCUCAAGUAGCUGAGGAUCUUGAAGAAUAAAAUUGAUCUGAAUUAUGACAGCCAAGGAGAAUAUUUGACCCCCUUUACUCCAAAACACAUUUAGAGUAUGAGAAGCUUAGCAUCCAUCCCAUCGCAUACGCUGACAUUAGAGGUUAAAUACAAUUUACUCAGCUAUGUACAGAUCAACCAGGCACAGGUCCAGAGGGCAGUGCGGCUCCAGCGACUAUCCCAUAGAGGCAUCCCAUUGCGCAGCCAUGGCUAGAGGGCCCAGUGAAUGGUCCCUGAAUCCCCCAGAGCCUCUCUAGAAUCUUUUCUUGCCAUUUCUAGCCCCUGCUAUGGCAGGCUACUGACUCCAGAUCUGGGUAGACUCCAAAGAGGCACAAGGAAAAGAAUUGCACAUUAAAAAUGGGGGCCUGUGCUCUGGAAAGCAGUGUGGAGGUUCCUCAGAAAAUUAAAAAUAGACCUACCCUAUGACCCAGCAAUAGCACUGCUAGGAAUUUCCCCAAGGGAUACAGGAGUACUGAUGCAUAGGGGCACUUGUACCCCAAUGUUUAUAGCAGCACUCUCAACAAUAGCCAAAUUGUGGAAAGAGCCUAAAUGUCCAUCAACUGAUGAAUGGAUAAAGAAAUUGUGGUUUAUAUACAUAAUGGAGUACUAUGUGGCAAUGA
This is a long non-coding RNA of Acinonyx jubatus (cheetah), 3322 nucleotides long. RefSeq lists it as uncharacterized. Lineage: Eukaryota; Metazoa; Chordata; Mammalia; Carnivora; Felidae. The transcript has 3 exons. The record is from RefSeq and is a predicted model, not a curated record.